CUCGAUUGGUGAACCAGCGGAGGGAUCAUUACCGAGUUUACGACUCCCAAACCCAAUGUGAACGUUACCAAACUGUUGCCUCGGCGGGAUCUCUGCCCCGGGUGCGUCGCAGCCCCGGACCAAGGCGCCCGCCGGAGGACCAACCAAAACUCUUAUUGUAUACCCCCUCGCGGGUUUUUUAUAAUCUGAGCCUUCUCGGCGCCCCUCGUGGGCGUUUCGAAAAUGAAUCAAAACUUUCAACAACGGAUCUCUUGGUUCUGGCAUCGAUGAAGAACGCAGCGAAAUGCGAUAAGUAAUGUGAAUUGCAGAAUUCAGUGAAUCAUCGAAUCUUUGAACGCACAUUGCGCCCGCCAGUAUUCUGGCGGGCAUGCCUGUCCGAGCGUCAUUUCAACCCUCGAACCCCUCCGGGGGGUCGGCGUUGGGGAUCGGCCCUCCCUCUGCGGGGGCCGUCUCCGAAAUCCAGUGGCGGUCUCGCCGCAGCCUCUCCUGCGCAGUAGUUUGCACACUCGCACCGGGAGCGCGGCGCGUCCACAGCCGUUAAACACCCAACUUUCUGAAAUGUUGACCUCGGAUCAGGUAGG
RNAcentral lists this ribosomal RNA (581 nucleotides) under Trichoderma pleuroti. RNAcentral's name for it is "eukaryotic LSU rRNA". The stretch from base 232 to 385 matches the Rfam family "5.8S ribosomal RNA". The record is from RNAcentral. Lineage: Eukaryota; Fungi; Ascomycota; Sordariomycetes; Hypocreales; Hypocreaceae.